ACCCUAUGAAAAAGCAGAAAAUAUUUGAGAGGCUGAGAUGCACCAAAAGAUAGUGACAUAAGCGGCGCUUAGGUACGGAAGCAUGAUGAGUGAUGCGUUCUUAGUUGAAAUGCCGACUUAUCCGCAUCGUUUUGGCGUCUUUCGUAGUGGAUGCGCUCCGCGAUGAUCAGAAGCCCCAUCCUUUUCUCUGCCGCUAUUCCCUCCUUUUUGCUCAUCAGAAUUCUUGAUUCUUGAUUCCGUUGACCUCUCCAUCGGCUCCGGAGUUUAGAACUGCGAGGUGAACAUGGCCGACCAGUCGGAUGGUCCUCCCAAUGCUUCUGAUGACAAACGUCAAAACUCAGGUGCUGAGAUCAUGCAGCCAACAAAUACGGAUCAACAAAAUGCCGCCGAGCCUGUUAAAACAAAGUUCAGCAACAUCAGUCUUUGUGAACUCACAACAUCCG
Long non-coding RNA from Neltuma alba, 443 nucleotides. RefSeq lists it as uncharacterized. The record is from RefSeq and is a predicted model, not a curated record. NCBI's taxonomy places the organism in Eukaryota, Viridiplantae, Streptophyta, Magnoliopsida, Fabales, Fabaceae. The transcript has 3 exons.